This 497-nucleotide ribosomal RNA is filed under the name uncultured bacterium. RNAcentral describes it as "partial 16S ribosomal RNA". It matches the Rfam family "Bacterial small subunit ribosomal RNA", at positions 28 to 507 of the family's 1533-position model. The record is from RNAcentral.
GAUGAACGCUGGCGGCGUGCCUAAUACAUGCAAGUCGAGCGAACGGACGAGAAGCUUGCUUCUCUGAUGUUAGCGGCGGACGGGUGAGUAACACGUGGAUAACCUACCUAUAAGACUGGGAUAACUUCGGGAAACCGGAGCUAAUACCGGAUAAUAUUUUGAACCGCAUGGUUCAAAAGUGAAAGACGGUCUUGCUGUCACUUAUAGAUGGAUCCGCGCUGCAUUAGCUAGUUGGUAAGGUAACGGCUUACCAAGGCAACGAUGCAUAGCCGACCUGAGAGGGUGAUCGGCCACACUAGAAGUGAGACGCGGUCCAGACGCCUACGAGAGGCAGCAGUAGGGAAUCGUCCGCAGUGGGCGAGAGCCUGACGGAGCAACGCCGCGUGAGAGAUGAAGGUCUUCGGAGCGUAAAACUCUGUUAUUAGGGAAGAACAUAUGUGUAAGUAACUGUGCACAGCUUGACGGUACCUAAUCAGAAAGCCACGGCUAACUACGUG